This 254-nucleotide ribosomal RNA is filed under the name uncultured bacterium. RNAcentral's name for it is "partial 16S ribosomal RNA". It matches the Rfam family "Bacterial small subunit ribosomal RNA", at positions 524 to 776 of the family's 1533-position model. The record is from RNAcentral.
UACGUAGGGAGCAAGCGUUGUUCGGAUUUACUGGGCGUAAAGGGCGCGUAGGCGGCGCGGUAAGUCACUUGUGAAAUCUCUGAGCUUAACUCAGAACGGCCAAGUGAUACUGCAGUGCUAGAGUGCAGAAGGGGCAAUCGGAAUUCUUGGUGUAGCGGUGAAAUGCGUAGAUAUCAAGAGGAACACCUGAGGUGAAGACGGGUUGCUGGGCUGACACUGACGCUGAGUGCGCGAAAGCGUGGGGAGCAAACAGG